This is a long non-coding RNA of Heterocephalus glaber (naked mole-rat), 593 nucleotides long. The record is from Ensembl. NCBI's taxonomy places the organism in Eukaryota, Metazoa, Chordata, Mammalia, Rodentia, Bathyergidae.
CUGUGAUUCAGUAAAUUGAUUAUUUGAUGAAUUGAUUUUAUGACAUUGACAUAUAGCCAACCGGAUAAUUUCUUUUAUUUGGAAAGACCACUAAAUUCACCAUUAUAUGUCCAAAGUCUACUGCAGUGCCUGGUGCAGUAGGUACUCAGGAAAUGGAUGGAUGGAUGGAUAAAUUGUUCUGGCUGAGGGCAUUACAAGAAGAAACAAGACUGCCAGACUUCAUGGCUUCGUGGAGCCCAUAUUCUAGUGUAGGGACCUUCAUCUUGCCUGCUACAAUGUGGUGCUCUGGACAUCUCUGCAGGGGGACAAGCAGUGUGGAAGACACAAGCUACUUCAGGGGCUAUGAUGACAGGCUGUUGGUCAACUGAUGAAUUAUUGGAAGUCUAUUACUGCAGGAACCAGGGGCCUAUUGUUUUAUGGAUACAAUUCAGGGGACCCAUGUAUUUGGAUGCAGAAAAUCAUCAUUUUAUUUUCAUAACCUCCUUCAUUUAUGGAUGCAGGAAUCAAAAACAUUUGUUAUCAAUACUUAUGACUAUGCUACUCAGAGAAAUCAGAGAUUUUUAAAAUUACAUAUUAAAGUUAUAUAUAUCCAA